CCUACGGGGGGCAGCAGUGAGGAAUAUUGGUCAAUGGACGAGAGUCUGAACCAGCCAAGUAGCGUGAAGGAUGACUGCCCUAUGGGUUGUAAACUUCUUUUAUAUGGGAAUAAUAUGUUCCACGUGUGGGAUUUUGUAUGUACCAUAUGAAUAAGGAUCGGCCAACUCAGUGCCAGCAGCCGCGGUAAUACGGAGGAUCCGAGCGUUAUCCGGAUUUAUUGGGGUUAAAGGGAGCGUAGGUGGGUUGUUAAGUCAGUUGUGAAAGUUUGGGGCUCAACCGUAAAAUUGCAGUUGAAACUGGCAGUCUUGAGUACAGUAGAGGUAGGCGGAAUUCGUGGUGUAGCGGUGAAAUGCUUAGAUAUCACGAAGAACUCCGAUUGCGAAGGCAGUUCACUGGACUGCAACUGACACUGAGGCACGAAAGUGUGGGUAUCAAACAGGAUUAGAUACCCCUGUAGUC
This 460-nucleotide ribosomal RNA is filed under the name uncultured bacterium. RNAcentral's name for it is "partial 16S ribosomal RNA". It matches the Rfam family "Bacterial small subunit ribosomal RNA", at positions 338 to 795 of the family's 1533-position model. The record is from RNAcentral.